RNAcentral lists this ribosomal RNA (518 nucleotides) under uncultured bacterium. RNAcentral's name for it is "bacterial SSU rRNA". It matches the Rfam family "Bacterial small subunit ribosomal RNA", at positions 555 to 1074 of the family's 1533-position model. The record is from RNAcentral.
UGGGCGUAAAGGGCACGCAGGCGGUGACUUAAGUGAGGUGUGAAAGCCCCGGGCUUAACCUGGGAAUUGCAUUUCAUACUGGGUCGCUAGAGUACUUUAGGGAGGGGUAGAAUUCCACGUGUAGCGGUGAAAUGCGUAGAGAUGUGGAGGAAUACCGAAGGCGAAGGCAGCCCCUUGGGAAUGUACUGACGCUCAUGUGCGAAAGCGUGGGGAGCAAACAGGAUUAGAUACCCUGGUAGUCCACGCUGUAAACGAUGUCGAUUUGGGGGUUGAGCUUUGAGCUUGGCGCCCGUAGCUAACGUGAUAAAUCGACCGCCUGGGGAGUACGGCCGCAAGGUUAAAACUCAAAUGAAUUGACGGGGGCCCGCACAAGCGGUGGAGCAUGUGGUUUAAUUCGAUGCAACGCGAAGAACCUUACCUACUCUUGACAUCCAGAGAACUUUCCAGAGAUGGAUUGGUGCCUUCGGGAACUCUGAGACAGGUGCUGCAUGGCUGUCGUCAGCUCGUGUCGUGAGAAG